GAACGCUGGCGGCGUGCUUAACACAUGCAAGUCGAACGGAGAGGCCCUGCUUUUGUGGGGUGCUCGAGUGGCGAACGGGUGAGUAACACGUGAGUAACCUGCCCUUGACUUUGGGAUAACUUCUGGAAACUGGGGCUAAUACCGGAUAGGAGCUCCUGCUGCAUGGUGGGGGUUGGAAAGUUUCGGCGGUUGGGGAUGGACUCGCGGCUUAUCAGCUUGUUGGUGGGGUAGUGGCUUACCAAGGCUUUGACGGGUAGCCGGCCUGAGAGGGUGACCGGCCACAUUGGGACUGAGAUACGGCCCAGACUCCUACGGGAGGCAGCAGUGGGGAAUAUUGCACAAUGGGCGGAAGCCUGAUGCAGCAACGCCGCGUGCGGGAUGACGGCCUUCGGGUUGUAAACCGCUUUCGCCUGUGACGAAGCGUGAGUGACGGUAAUGGGUAAAGAAGCACCGGCUAACUACGUGCCAGCAGCCGCGGUGAUACGUAGGGUGCGAGCGUUGUCCGGAUUUAUUGGGCGUAAAGGGCUCGUAGGUGGUUGAUCGCGUCGGAAGUGUAAUCUUGGGGCUUAACCCUGAGCGUGCUUUCGAUACGGGUUGACUUGAGGAAGGUAGGGGAGAAUGGAAUUCCUGGUGGAGCGGUGGAAUGCGCAGAUAUCAGGAGGAACACCAGUGGCGAAGGCGGUUCUCUGGGCCUUUCCUGACGCUGAGGAGCGAAAGCGUGGGGAGCGAACAGGCUUAGAUACCCUGGUAGUCCACGCUGUAAACGGUGGGUACUAGGUGUGGGGUCCAUUCCACGGGUUCCGUGCCGUAGCUAACGCUUUAAGUACCCCGCCUGGGGAGUACGGCCGCAAGGCUAAAACUCAAAGGAAUUGACGGGGCCCCGCACAAGCGGCGGAGCAUGCGGAUUAAUUCGAUGCAACGCGUAGAACCUUACCUGGGUUUGACAUGGAUCGGGAGUGCUCAGAGAUGGGUGUGCCUCUUUUGGGGUCGGUUCACAGGUGGUGCAUGGCUGUCGUCAGCUCGUGUCGUGAGAUGUUGGGUUAAGUCCCGCAACGAGCGCAACCCUUGUUCACUGUUGCCAGCACGUUAUGGUGGGGACUCAGUGGAGACCGCCGGGGUCAACUCGGAGGAAGGUGGGGAUGACGUCAAGUCAUCAUGCCCCUUAUGUCCAGGGCUUCACGCAUGCUACAAUGGCUGGUACAGAGAGUGGCGAGCCUGUGAGGGUGAGCGAAUCUCGGAAAGCCGGUCUCAGUUCGGAUUGGGGUCUGCAACUCGACCUCAUGAAGUCGGAGUCGCUAGUAAUCGCAGAUCAGCAACGCUGCGGUGAAUACGUUCCCGGGGCUUGUACACACCGCCCGUCAAGUCAUGAAAGUUGGUAACACCCGAAGCCGGUGGCCUAACCGUUGUGGGGGAGCCGUCGAAGGUGGGACUGGUGAUUAGGACUAAGU
RNAcentral lists this ribosomal RNA (1448 nucleotides) under uncultured organism. RNAcentral describes it as "16S ribosomal RNA". It matches the Rfam family "Bacterial small subunit ribosomal RNA". The record is from RNAcentral.